Molecule: long non-coding RNA, 1773 nt
Organism: Oxyura jamaicensis (ruddy duck)
Lineage: Eukaryota; Metazoa; Chordata; Aves; Anseriformes; Anatidae
Exons: 2
Source: RefSeq, a predicted model, not a curated record
GGGGCAGGAGGGGGGCAGGAGGGAUGGAGGGAGGAAGGACGGAGGACGGACGGAGGGAAGGAAGGAGAGCUGCCGCCUCCCCGGCCGCCCGCACUUUUAUGCUCCCGCUGGCGAUCGACUUUUUUUUUUUUUUUUUUUCCUCUCUCUCUGCACGCUGUGCCAGUCCGAGUCAACUUUCCCUGGGACUUGCCUGUCGCGGUCGCCCCGCUCUCUGCUCUCUCUCUGUUUCCCCGCAGAGGUGACGGGGUUCAGCCCCGCUGCCGCCGCCGCCGCCGAGAGCCCGCACCGCCGAGCGCUGCCGGAGCCGGAGGAGAGCGGGAUCCUGCCCGGGUGCCACCUGCCAGGAGAGGAGGAGGCUGACGAGCGCGCUGGAGCAAUUUAUAGGCACCCAAAAGCGCAGGGGAAAGGGGAGCUGCUUUGGCAUCUCAUUCCAGCAUCUGCUCUGCUCUUCCCACUCACAGAGAGUUUGGCAUUACUCUGGCAGUGUGGGAAAUAUAUAUUUUUUUUCCUCCCCCCCCCCGCGGGCCCCCCCGCGGUCCACCCCCCCUCCCUCCACAAACGGAUGAACAGUGAAAUCGUGAGGCUCACUCACUAGCUGCAUCGUGUGAUGACAGCUCUUUCUGGAGCAGACUGAAAGGAAGAGAUCUGCCUAGCAGCCUCUGGGCACCCUUCAGGUCACCGAUCGAGAAUUAAAAGGAAGAAAAGAAAAGCUGUGCCAAGAGAGACGGGUCAGCCUCAGGCUGGAGCUGGGCCCUUGGGGUGCUGUGUUUAGUCAUCUCUAACCCGGGAGGUUUUCAUGACAUCAGGACGUGCGCAAACCUCCACUGCAACUGCCGUGUGACAUACCGGGGAGGCAGCAGUUCUUCUCCUACCCUCAAAGAGACUCAAACCAAUUGUGCUCUGUCAAGCCGUGGUGACUCUGGGUGGCACCUGAGCACUGGCUUGCCGAGCGUACCCUUACUCCGGCUACAAUAAACCUACUUCUUAAAGCAAGGUCCUGCCACGGCUACCACACUUACCUUCUUACUGCUCAGUUUUAUCCUCAUGCAUAUUGCCUGGAGUCUCUGUGCUCAUUCGCUCGAGACUUGCAGACUUUCUCUCAAAGAAGGCCCAUGAGCCAGCCACAAAAAUCGCGGUGUAAGCAAGCAGAACGGAGAGAAGAGAGUGAGCCCCUCUGCGGAGCUGUCCACGAAGACCGUGUGUUAGCUGGGAACACAGCCUGGGAUGUGCUAGACCAGUGCGUUAGUUACCAGAGCAUCCUUACACCUCAAGGAAAAAUAUUUUUUCCAAGGAAACCACGAAUGGAAAACCAAUGGGCUGAAAAGUCACGCACCGGCGGUCUCAGUGCUUUUGGAACAAAGAUAAGGAAAAGGUGGAAAUGUCUUUUCACAAUGGGACUUUAGUUUUCCUGAAGUGGCUUGCCAUAGUAACACGUCACUGUAAUUAAGGCCUGGGCACCAUUUAUGUUAUAAUGCAAUCUCCUCUCCAUGCUAAAAAUCAAGACUGGCAGUCCGUUCCCAACAAAACCACGACACCCAGGCUGGCUGCUGCGGUGAUCAGCGUUACAUUUCUUUGCACCUUGCCUUAGUCCUUCCGCCUAUGUUCUUACCUCCCCGCUCUCUUGGGGCCGUUACACAUUCAGCCCCGCAGUCGGCGUGUAAGCUGUAUCCCCUGCAGCUUCUGCCAUUUGAAACAGCCUGCCCACAGCUCCUUCCCUUACUGACUAAUUAGCUAAUGUUCCUACGGAGCCUCGAAGAUGUUACAGCGUAACAU